GGGCAACGUAAUUUAAUAAUUUUGAAAUGGAUUUUUUUGUUUUGGCAAGAGCAUGAGAGCUUUUACUGGGCAAGAAGACAAGAGAUGGAGAGUCCAGCCGGGCCUGCGCUUAAGUGCGCGGUCUUGCUAGGCUUGUAAGUUUCUUUCUUGCUAUUCCAAACGGUGAGAGAUUUCUGUGCUUUUGUUAUAGGACAAUUAAAACCGUUUCAAUACAACACACUGUGGAGUUUUCAUAUCUUUGCAACUUUUUCUUUGGGCAUUCGAGCAAUCGGGGCCCAGAGGUAACAAACACAAACAAUUUUAUUUAUUCAUUAAAUUUUUGUCAAAAACAAGAAUUUUCGUAACUGGAAAUUUUAAAAUAUUAAAAACUUUCAACAACGGAUCUCUUGGUUCUCGCAUCGAUGAAGAACGCAGCGAAAUGCGAUACGUAAUGUGAAUUGCAGAAUUCCGUGAAUCAUCGAAUCUUUGAACGCACAUUGCGCCCCUUGGUAUUCCAGGGGGCAUGCCUGUUUGAGCGUCAUUUCCUUCUCAAACAUUCUGUUUGGUAGUGAGUGAUACUCUUUGGAGUUAACUUGAAAUUGCUGGCCUUUUCAUUGGAUGUUUUUUUUCCAAAGAGAGGUUUCUCUGCGUGCUUGAGGUAUAAUGCAAGUACGGUCGUUUUAGGUUUUACCAACUGCGGCUAAUCUUUUUUAUACUGAGCGUAUUGGAACGUUAUCGAUAAGAAGAGAGCGUCUAGGCGAACAAUGGUCUUAAAGUUUGACCUCCAAUCAAGUAAGAAUACCCGCUGAACUUAAGCAUAUCAAAAACCGGAGAGAAA
RNAcentral lists this ribosomal RNA (817 nucleotides) under Saccharomyces cerevisiae (brewer's yeast). Its description in RNAcentral is "eukaryotic LSU rRNA". The stretch from base 367 to 520 matches the Rfam family "5.8S ribosomal RNA". Lineage: Eukaryota; Fungi; Ascomycota; Saccharomycetes; Saccharomycetales; Saccharomycetaceae. The record is from RNAcentral.